GAUGAAGAACGCAGCGAAACGCGAUAAGUAAUGUGAAUUGCAGAAUCCAGUGAAUCAUCGAAUCUUUGAACGCACAUUGCGCCCGCCAGCAUUCUGGCGGGCAUGCCUGUUCGAGCGUCAUUUCAACCCUCGACCUCCCCUUGGGGAGGUCGGCGUUGGGGACCGGCAGCACACCGCCGGCCCUGAAAUGGAGUGGCGGCCCGUCCGCGGCGACCUCUGCGCAGUAAUACAGCUCGCACCGGGACCCCGACACGGCCACGCCGUAAAACACCCAACUUCUGAACGUUGACCUCGAAUCAGGUAGGACUACCCGCUGAACUUAAGCAUAUCAAUAAGCGGAGGA
This 343-nucleotide unclassified non-coding RNA is filed under the name soil metagenome. Its description in RNAcentral is "partial contains 5.8S ribosomal RNA, internal transcribed spacer 2, and large subunit ribosomal RNA". The stretch from base 1 to 120 matches the Rfam family "5.8S ribosomal RNA", at positions 35 to 154 of the family's 154-position model. The record is from RNAcentral.